GAGGAAUAUUGGUCAAUGGGCGAGAGCCUGAACCAGCCAAGUAGCGUGCAGGAUGACGGCCCUAUGGGUUGUAAACUGCUUUUAUGUGGGGAUAAAGUGAGCUACGUGUAGUUUAUUGCAGGUACCACAUGAAUAAGGACCGGCUAAUUCCGUGCCAGCAGCCGCGGUAAUACGGAAGGUCCAGGCGUUAUCCGGAUUUAUUGGGUUUAAAGGGAGCGUAGGCUGGAGAUUAAGUGUGUUGUGAAAUGUAGACGCUCAACGUCUGACUUGCAGCGCAUACUGGUUUCCUUGAGUACGCACAACGUUGGCGGAAUUCGUCGUGUAGCGGUGAAAUGCUUAGAUAUGACGAAGAACUCCGAUUGCGAAGGCAGCUGACGGGAGCGCAACUGACGCUUAAGCUCGAAGGUGCGGGUAUCAAACAGGAUUAGAUACCCUGGUAGUCCGCACAGUAAACGAUGGAUGCCCGCUGUUGGUACCUGGUAUCAGCGGCUAAGCGAAAGCAUUAAGCAUCCCACCUGGGGAGUACGCCGGCAACGGUG
Molecule: ribosomal RNA, 539 nt
Filed under: uncultured bacterium
Lineage: Bacteria
Description: bacterial SSU rRNA
Rfam family: Bacterial small subunit ribosomal RNA
Source: RNAcentral